RNAcentral lists this long non-coding RNA (1329 nucleotides) under Danio rerio (zebrafish). RNAcentral describes it as "lncRNA (ENSDARG00000117449.1)". Lineage: Eukaryota; Metazoa; Chordata; Actinopteri; Cypriniformes; Danionidae. The record is from RNAcentral.
CAAAAUAGCAGACUGGUUACAGAAGCAGUGGUGUAGUGAUUAUUGUCACCAGUAGGAGACGCUGCGAGAUACAUGAGUGCCCCGUCGCUACUUCAGCAAUGAAGAACUGAACAUGUGCAAGAAAAAAACCAUGAAGUUGUUUUCGUCAGUCUUCAGAAGAGAUUUAAAGAAAUCUGGUCUUCUGGUCAACGUAAAAGCCAUUUUCAGUGUCCUGCUGAGGAGAGAAAGCGUUGAUGGCCUAAGGGUCAGCACUUACAGAUGGUUUUGCCUCCAGACAGUUUGAAGCUCAGACAAUGAUGAUGAUGGUGGUGAUGAAACCAUGGUUAAAAAGAUGUGGAGAGGCACAGAAUCAGGCCCUGCCGGCUGAACGGAGAGCGGUAUAAUUAACGCCAGUGAGGAGGUUCAGCCUGUCUCAAUCAGCUCAGUCAGGCAAGGCAAAUUAAUAUUCAAGCAUUGACGCUCAUUCGCUCUGAGACAAUGUCUCUCGUUUACAUAACCCCUCCGCAUGGGCGAGGAUGCAAGAAGUGAUCGGACACAACCAUCAAUUUUAUUUAAUUCUGACAUUCUGGUUAAUGUUUACAUUUCCAAACUGACUUGUGUGCAAUUAUAUUAGGUCUGAGUGUGGCUGAUGUAGAGGCGCAAAUGAAUUGAUGCUGAAUUGUUUGCCUGGAUGCAGGUUAUUAGUUUCCAUGUCUUGUAAUAGACCUCGGUUCUUUUUUAUUGUUUAUGCAGGUACACCAUAUUAAUGAGAGCGCAAAUACACACUAGGCUGUCUGGGAAUGCAUUUGAUAAACUGUUUAGGCCUUACUUGGCAACGCUUGACUGACUGAACAGCAUACAUUGCGAUUGCUUGAAGUUCAAGAAAAACAAAAGCAAGCUGAAGUUUAGCGGAUGGAAUAAUUUAAGUGUGUUUUGUACUGUGUGUGUGACAGCUAUUUAUUUCAAAAUAUGGUCAGUGUAUUGUAUACUCAUUUUAAGGUUACUAAGACAUCUGUGAUGGCAGUCCAGACAACAUAGCAUUCAUUGCAAUCCAACAUGGCUGUCUGCCAUCUGGCCGUGAACACACUCAAACAUUUUUGUUACUGCUCAAGGUCUUGCCUGCAAGGUUCCCAUUGUGCAGUAUCAAAGGUAAAUCUGGAUGCCACAGGAAAAUACACCUGCUUGUGAAGUUCUUCAACUUUGUCUACUGUAUUACAGAGCUUUUUGAAUUAAAUGGCAACUUUAUCAUGUAAAAAUGUGUUUUAAUUUUGUACCAAUUCAAAUAUUUAAGCCUAUUUGACACAAUGACACUACGAGCCAACCAUAAGCUACUUCUCUGUCAGCUUUAGC